Molecule: ribosomal RNA, 1011 nt
Filed under: Pediococcus acidilactici
Lineage: Bacteria; Bacillati; Bacillota; Bacilli; Lactobacillales; Lactobacillaceae
Description: bacterial SSU rRNA
Rfam family: Bacterial small subunit ribosomal RNA
Source: RNAcentral
GCUUGCACUGAAUGAGAUUUUAACACGAAGUGAGUGGCGGACGGGUGAGUAACACGUGGGUAACCUGCCCAGAAGCAGGGGAUAACACCUGGAAACAGAUGCUAAUACCGUAUAACAGAGAAAACCGCCUGGUUUUCUUUUAAAAGAUGGCUCUGCUAUCACUUCUGGAUGGACCCGCGGCGCAUUAGCUAGUUGGUGAGGUAACGGCUCACCAAGGCGAUGAUGCGUAGCCGACCUGAGAGGGUAAUCGGCCACAUUGGGACUGAGACACGGCCCAGACUCCUACGGGAGGCAGCAGUAGGGAAUCUUCCACAAUGGACGCAAGUCUGAUGGAGCAACGCCGCGUGAGUGAAGAAGGGUUUCGGCUCGUAAAGCUCUGUUGUUAAAGAAGAACGUGGGUGAGAGUAACUGUUCACCCAGUGACGGUAUUUAACCAGAAAGCCACGGCUAACUACGUGCCAGCAGCCGCGGUAAUACGUAGGUGGCAAGCGUUAUCCGGAUUUAUUGGGCGUAAAGCGAGCGCAGGCGGUCUUUUAAGUCUAAUGUGAAAGCCUUCGGCUCAACCGAAGAAGUGCAUUGGAAACUGGGAGACUUGAGUGCAGAAGAGGACAGUGGAACUCCAUGUGUAGCGGUGAAAUGCGUAGAUAUAUGGAAGAACACCAGUGGCGAAGGCGGCUGUCUGGUCUGUAACUGACGCUGAGGCUCGAAAGCAUGGGUAGCGAACAGGAUUAGAUACCCUGGUAGUCCAUGCCGUAAACGAUGAUUACUAAGUGUUGGAGGGUUUCCGCCCUUCAGUGCUGCAGCUAACGCAUUAAGUAAUCCGCCUGGGGAGUACGACCGCAAGGUUGAAACUCAAAAGAAUUGACGGGGGCCCGCACAAGCGGUGGAGCAUGUGGUUUAAUUCGAAGCUACGCGAAGAACCUUACCAGGUCUUGACAUCUUCUGCCAACCUAAGAGAUUAGGCGUUCCCUUCGGGGACAGAAUGACAGGUGGUGCAUGGUUGUCCUCAGC